This 925-nucleotide ribosomal RNA is filed under the name uncultured archaeon. Its description in RNAcentral is "bacterial SSU rRNA". It matches the Rfam family "Archaeal small subunit ribosomal RNA", at positions 1 to 920 of the family's 1478-position model. The record is from RNAcentral.
UUCCGGUUGAUCCUGCCGGACCCGACUGCUAUUUGGGUGAGGAUAAGCCAUGCGAGUUGAAUGGGAAACCUAAAAAUCCCAUGGCAAACUGCUCAGUAACACAUGAUCAACUUACCCUAUAGAGGAAAAUAACCUCGGGAAACUGAGGAUAAUGUUCCAUAGUUGAAUCGGCUUGGAAAAGUUUUUCAAUAAAAGGGAUAAGGAAAAUGGUCCUUAUCUGCUAUAGGAUAGGAUCGUGCUCGAUUAUGGUUGUUGGUGAGGUAAAGGCUCACCAAGCCGAUAAUCGAUAGGGGCCGUGAGAGCGGGAGCCCCGAGAUGGGUACUGAGACAACGACCCAGGCCUUACGAGGCGCAGCAGGCGCGAAACCUCCGCAAUACACGAAAGUGUGACGGGGUUACCCAAAGUGUUCAUUAGAACUGUGGUAGGUGAGUAAUGUUCCCUACUAGAAAGGAGAGGGCAAGGCUGGUGCCAGCCGCCGCGGUAAAACCAGCUCUUCAAGUGGUCGGGAUAAUUAUUGGGCUUAAAGUGUCCGUAGCCGGUUUAGUAAGUUCCUGGUAAAAUCGGGUAGCUUAACUAUCUAUAUGCUAGGAAUACUGCUAUACUAGAGGGCGGGAGAGGUCUGAGGUACUACAGGGGUAGGGGUGAAAUCUUAUAAUCCUUGUAGGACCACCAGUGGCGAAGGCGUCAGACUGGAACGCGCCUGACGGUGAGGGACGAAAGCCAGGGGAGCGAACCGGAUUAGAUGCCCGGGUAGUCCUGGCCGUAAACGAUGCAUACUAGGUGAUGGCACGGGCCAUGAGCCGUGUCAGUGCCGUAGGGAAACCGUUAAGUGUGCCGCCUGGGAAGUACGGUCGCAAGGCUAAAACUUAAAGGAAUUGGCGGGGGAGCACACAAGGGGUGAAGCUGCGUCAAUGACUCACGCGU